RNAcentral lists this ribosomal RNA (254 nucleotides) under uncultured bacterium. Its description in RNAcentral is "partial 16S ribosomal RNA". It matches the Rfam family "Bacterial small subunit ribosomal RNA", at positions 524 to 776 of the family's 1533-position model. The record is from RNAcentral.
UACGUAGGGGCCGAGCGUUGUUCGGAAUUACUGGGCGUAAAGGGCGCGUAGGCGGCGCGAUAAGUUGGGCGUGAAAGGCCCGGGCUCAACCCGGGGACUGCGCUUGAUACUGUCGCGCUGUGAGUCCGGGAGAGGAUGGCGGAAUUCCCAGUGUAGAGGUGAAAUUCGUAGAUAUUGGGAAGAACACCGGUGGCGAAGGCGGCCAUCUGGACCGGCACUGACGCUGAGGCGCGAAAGCGUGGGGAGCAAACAGG